CUAGGGCUACACACGUGCUACAAUGGCAUAUACAAAGAGAAGCGACCUCGCGAGAGCAAGCGGACCUCAUAAAGUAUGUCGUAGUCCGGAUUGGAGUCUGCAACUCGACUCCAUGAAGUCGGAAUCGCUAGUAAUCGUAGAUCAGAAUGCUACGGUGAAUACGUUCCCGGGCCUU
RNAcentral lists this ribosomal RNA (175 nucleotides) under uncultured Enterobacteriaceae bacterium. RNAcentral describes it as "partial 16S ribosomal RNA". It matches the Rfam family "Bacterial small subunit ribosomal RNA", at positions 1208 to 1382 of the family's 1533-position model. Lineage: Bacteria; Pseudomonadati; Pseudomonadota; Gammaproteobacteria; Enterobacterales; Enterobacteriaceae. The record is from RNAcentral.